UACAGAGGGUGCAAGCGUUGUUCGGAAUUAUUGGGCGUAAAGAGCGUGUAGGCGGCCAAGCAGGUCCGUUGUGAAAACUGGAGGCUUAACCUCCAGACGUCGACGGAAACCGCGUGGCUAGAGUCCGGAAGAGGAGAGUGGAAUUCCUGGUGUAGCGGUGAAAUGCGCAGAUAUCAGGAAGAACACCGAUGGCGAAGGCAGCUCUCUGGGACGGUACUGACGCUGAGACGCGAAAGCGUGGGGAGCGAACAGG
This 253-nucleotide ribosomal RNA is filed under the name uncultured bacterium. Its description in RNAcentral is "partial 16S ribosomal RNA". It matches the Rfam family "Bacterial small subunit ribosomal RNA", at positions 524 to 776 of the family's 1533-position model. The record is from RNAcentral.